GAUCAUGGCUCAGGAUGAACGCUGGCGGCGUGCCUAACACAUGCAAGUCGAGCGAAGUUAUUUCAGGAAGCCUUCGGGUGGAAUGGAUUUAACUUAGCGGCGGACGGGUGAGUAACGCGUGGGCAACCUACCCUGUACAGGGGAAUAACAAUGGGAAACCAUUGCUAAUACCCCAUAAUACCUUUUAGGGGCAUCCCUUAAAGGUCAAAGAAUUUCGGUAUAGGAUGGGCCCGCGUCGCAUUAGCUAGUUGGUAAGGUAAUGGCUUACCAAGGCGACGAUGCGUAGCCGGCCUGAGAGGGUGAACGGCCACACUGGAACUGAGACACGGUCCAGACUCCUACGGGAGGCAGCAGUGGGGAAUAUUGCACAAUGGGGGGAAAAACCCCCUGAUGCAGCAACGCCGCGUGAGCGAUGAAGGCUUUCGGGUCGUAAAGCUCUGUCCUAAGGGAAGAUAAUGACGGUACCUUAGGAGGAAGCCCCGGCUAACUACGUGCCAGCCGCCGC
This 505-nucleotide ribosomal RNA is filed under the name uncultured bacterium. RNAcentral describes it as "bacterial SSU rRNA". It matches the Rfam family "Bacterial small subunit ribosomal RNA", at positions 15 to 518 of the family's 1533-position model. The record is from RNAcentral.